UAAAGGGGACAAAUGUUAAGUAUGGAAUUCAGUAUUGAGGCUUUUAAACAAUAGUUGCCGUUAGGCUGACCUAUUUUUUAUUGAAGAUUUUUAUGACGUACCCAUUUCCAAAACGUCUACUAAGCAGGUCAUUUGGAGGUGUUGCUGGAGAAAUUGCUUGCAACUCGGACAGAUGUUCUGUGACAUCGUAAGAUGGAGCAGUCGGAGCAAGGUUUUGCCCAUGCAGUAGCUUGUCCAUUGGACCCUGUAAUUUUCUCCCUAGGUGAAGCUCGGCUGGAGAUAUACCGGUGGUUUCUUGUACCGCUGAAUUAAUGGCAAACCGUAACUCAGGUUUGUCUGAGGGUGGCAUGCUGUAGUCAUCUUCUGGGUGACUUUCCAUCUUGCACAGAUGUCUUGAAAGACGGCUGAGGUGAACUGUGUGCCUCGGUCAGAGAGGAUGAAAUCUGGUACCCCCCAUCGAGUAAGGAUAUCUUUUCUGAGGUAUGAAGCAACAGCCUGAGCCGUGGCCUUUCGCAAGGGGAACAAUUCAACCCACCGAGAAUAGUAAUCCACGAACACUAGUAGAUAUUCAUGUCGGUAGGAACUGCGAGGCAGUGGUCCCAUGAUAUCUACUCCCAACAUCUCGUUUGGACGACUGGUGGUGGUCUGUUGAAUUUUCCCAGCAGGCUUGCGGUUUUCAUUUUUCAAGGUCUGGCAUUUCAUGCACCUUUUUACAUAUUGCUUUACAGAUGUCCACACGGAGGGCCAGAAAGCGACCUGACGUACCCUCUGAUGUCUACUGCGGAAAGUGGAAAUCCAAAGUCCUCCUUCUGAUUGGAAUUUAAGUGGCAUCCAGGUGCGGAAUACAUUCGGGAUAACGCAUCUGGAGCUUCAUUGAGUUUUCCCUUUCGAUACUCAACCACAAAGUCAAAUCUUUGCAGAUGGAGUGCCCAACGGAUUAGACGUCCCAUGGUUUUUGUGGAAUUCAGGACCCACUGUAGAGCUGAAUGAUCCGUGACUACGGUGAAGAGUUUCGGUUCCAGGUAGCAUUGCCAUUUUUCUAGCGCCCAUACUAUUGCCAGACACUCUUUCUCUGUAACAGAAUAAUUCAUCUCAGCCUUGGUUAAAGUUCGGCUGCCAUAGGCCAUGACUUCUUCCAAGCCAGGUGUUUUCCUUUGCGUCAACACCGCACCGAGUCCUGAAUCACUGGCAUCAGUGUAGACAACAAAAGGAAGUUGAGGAUCUGGAUGACCCAGGAUGGGGGGUGAGGUGAGACAUGCCUUCAAUUUCUCAAAGGAUUGUUGACACUGUGGUGACCACUGGAAUUUUCAUCCCUUCUUCUUCAAAGCAUUUAUAAGCUCAGCUAUAUGAGAGAAAUUGGGCAGAAACCUGUGGUACCAUCCUGCCAACCCGAGAAAUCGUUGAACUUCUUUAAGGUUCCGGGGAACAGGGUAGGAGCGAAUGGCCUCUACUUUGUUGGGGUCAGCAGAGAUGCCUUUUGUGUUUACCACAUGUCCCAGAAAUGUUAAUUCAUGUAGGCAGAAUUUACUUUUUUCAGGUUUAUGGUUAAACCGGCUGUGUGCAAUCGGUCGAAGACAGUCUGAAGAUCAUAGAAGUGUUGGGUGACAGAUGGUGAAUAAAUUAUAAUAUCAUCAAUAUACACAAAACACAUUCUUCCUCGCAGUUCACCCAAGACAGUCUCCAUUAGUCGCUGAAAUGUCACUGGAGCAUUCUUCAGCCCAAAUGGCAUGACAUUAAAUUGGUAUAACCCAGAUGGAGCGAUGAAUGCAGUCUUGGACUUGCUCUCUGGUUCCAUCGUCACCUGCCAGUACCCACUGUUGAGGUCGAUGCUGGAGAAAAUACCUGCACCAGAGAGGGAUUCCAAUAUUUCUGUGAUAUUAGGCAGAGGAUAGGCAUCUCUCUCAGUGACAGCAUUGACCCUCCUAUAGUCUACACAGAAUCUCUGGCUGCCAUCUUUUUUGGGACCAGGACAAUAGGGACGCUGUUUGAUGGGUACAGGAUGGACAGUAUAAAGACAAUGCUGGAGUACUGUUGUUCUUCCGAGCUGGAGGGUACAGACUUGAGGAUUGUUCUCUAAGAGGUGGAGCAGUUGGCACUUCCUCUCGGGUGAUGCUGGAUACAUCUAGCGGGAAUACUAGCUCGUCCAGGCUGAAAAGGAUAAUUCUUGUUGGGAAUUGACUUGAAGGAAUAUUCUCCAUCUGCUACAUUGAUCUGAAGACCACUGGCACAGCGGUCUCACCAUUUGCCAAGUAGAGUGGACCAAGGGCCCAUGCCCGGAGUGGAUCAGAGGAUGCAAGCUCUGUCCAUAAGCUCUCGUGUAACAGAGUAUAGCUUGCACCGGUGUCGACUAUAGCCUUUCCUGUCCAUCCGCCAAUGGUAAUCGGGACAACCAACUGUUGAGGUAUACGCUCACAUUUAGAAGUAAAAGAUGCCGUCCCCGUAGAUGGCUGGAAUGGAGGUGUGACAGACAAGGCGUUAUUUGAUGGUGCUCCUGUUUUUUGUGCUGGAAAAUUUCGCUUGUUUCCUGCAGGAUUUUGAGUCGAUGUGAAAGGUGAAGUGGAGUAUUGUGGACAGUUUCCAGGGGAAUGCUGACCUUUACAUCUCCAGCAUUGGACGGCAGGUCUUUCCAUUUGACGGUUAGGGCUCUUUCAAGGCGUCGCUUACGGCAUUCAAUUGGACGCUACAUUGAGUGAUCUCCUGAAAAAGUUGGCCACAAUCCUUUUGCGUGAUGUCCUGCAUUUUCUGGAUGUCUUUCUGCAGCUCUAGUUGGAAUUGUUCCACCAUAAAUCGGACUUCAGAGAUUAAUGUGUGCUCACUUUUCUGCAGUUCUUCUGUCACCAUCACUUUCAUGGCUUUUGUCAGCUGAUCAGUGUCCUCUUCAUCAUGUUGUUUUUUUAGCAGUAAUCGUGGCCUGAAGCUGCUGAUGGUUGGAUUUUAUCUUAGCAGUUAAGGUUUCGAUCUUGGCAUCCUGCUGUGAAGUGGUAGUUUCAAGUCCCUGGGUGUUGGGAGAAAUGCAGGCAAGUCCUGCGGCGUUCCUGACGGUGUAAAUUCCGUGGAAGUACACAACUGCAAGUUAACAGUCGGUGGAGGAGCCCUUUCUCCUGGAAGUGGAGUGGAAAUCUGCACAUGGGUUCUUGUAGUAGGACUGCGAAACUCUGUCGGUGUGGUGUAGAAAGUGGGAACAGGAGGUGGUUGUCGGAGCUGCUGUUGGGUUUGCUGCACCAGGGGCCAGUUUGGUGUGGCAAUGUCUGGAGGAUCAAUUUCCACAAAAGUGGAUUGUGGGGCAGGGGUAUGGGCCAUAGUUGACUUGUAUGCGUGAAUAUGGCAACGGUCAAUUGUGAAAUGUGGAAAAAAAUAAAAUAUCAGA
Xyrauchen texanus (razorback sucker) is the source of this 3367-nucleotide long non-coding RNA. RefSeq lists it as uncharacterized. The transcript has 9 exons. The record is from RefSeq and is a predicted model, not a curated record. NCBI's taxonomy places the organism in Eukaryota, Metazoa, Chordata, Actinopteri, Cypriniformes, Catostomidae.